GGAGAAUAAAAGCAAAGCAAUAUUUAUCCUUUCAGUUAUGGAAUCACAGCACUGAAAGAGAAAGCUUGGCGCUGCUUGCUUAUUUUCCAAAGCCAGCUUUAUCUGUUCUUAUUCUGAAUUCCUCAUAACAAUUUUUCACUUUCCAGCUUCUUAAUGGCAAUCUCUACUUUAUUUGCACCUGUUAAUUCUCUUAAUCCUAUCACUCCUCCUACUUCUUCCUCUUCUUCUUUGAUUCCUUUCAAAAUUCAUCACCACCGCUUCAUGACGGCUCAAAACAGCUCAAAUGGACGGUUGGCGAUUCAGUGCUGUCAUGAAACGGGUCCGUCCUCGGAUCCCAUGACUCUCAGCAGGCAGACCCAAAUGUCAACUAUGACUGCCUUUGGAGUGAAUGAAACUGGCUCUUCUAGACCAUCUUACAAAUGGCAAAGAGUGUUGCUUAAAGUAAGUGGAGAAGCACUUGCCGGAGAUAAUAUGCAAAAUAUUGACCCAAAGAUCACAAUGGCUAUUGCAAGGGAGGUUGCAUCAGUGACACGCCUGGGGAUAGAGGUUGCAAUUGUGGUCGGUGGGGGAAAUAUAUUCCGUGGAUCCUCUUGGGCAGGAAGUAGUGGCCUUGACCGUUCAUCUGCUGACUACAUUGGUAUGUUGGCCACAGUUAUGAAUGCUAUAUUUCUUCAAGCAACUAUGGAGAGUAUUGGCAUUCCAACCAGGGUUCAGACUGCAUUUCGCAUGUCAGAGGUUGCAGAACCAUAUAUUCGUCGACGGGCUGUCAGGCAUUUGGAAAAAGGAAGAGUUGUGAUUUUUGCAGCUGGAACUGGGAAUCCAUUCUUCACCACAGAUACAGCUGCAGCCCUGCGUUGUGCAGAAAUUAAUGCAGAGGUAGUGUUGAAAGCUACAAAUGUUGAUGGGGUCUAUGAUGAUGAUCCUAGGUGUAAUCCAAAUGCUCGUCUUCUUGAAACUCUAACUUACCAUGAGGUGACUUCGAAAGAUCUUUCGGUGAUGGACAUGACUGCCAUUACUUUGUGCCAAGAAAAUAAUAUCCCUGGUAUGUUUAUAUACUCUGCAUCAACACAUAGGUAGAGCCACCUUUUCCAUUUUUCCAUUUUCCUCUUUCCUCUAUAUACUGGUGAGCCUUAGGUAAUGGUAAGAUUACUCCUUUGUGUCCAAAAGGUCAUGAGUUUGAGUCAUGGAAAUAGAAUUUCUGCAGAAAAAAGGGAAAAGUAGGGGAAAAGCUGCAUGUGAUAGACGACCUUUUGAUUGAAGCUCACAUAGCAGGGAAACCCUGUGCAUUAGUGAUUUAUUUUUUUUCCCCCUCUAUCAAGGUGUCAAAGGCUCUUUGAGCAUUUGACUCAUCUUGAGGUGAAAUCCCUUGUCUAACAGGUACUAUGAAAAUUACUUAGACAAAUCCUUUCGAUGGCCACUAAAAAGGAUUUCAUGUGGUUUUGAACAUGCGCUAAUGCUUCUCGAGAUGCCUGAAUCAAGGACUCAACCACUCAGGGCUCUUGGGGGGGCUUUGGAGUGGUAGUAUGGACAAGAUUAACUAUUCAUUUUUUUUGCGGAUGAGUUUGUGGAUGAAAUGGUCGCUCUACUCGAGCCACCAAACCAGCUUCUACUCGAGAAGCCCAGGAGCUCAAAAUUGUUAUGAAUGCAGUAUAAAAUGACCCCUGAUCUUUUUGCAACUAAUAUUGACUUUUUUUUUCCUUAUUUUUUUCACUUUAUUUAUUGCCAGAAAACCUUUAGCAGCAUCUAUAAGUUGAUUGGUAUCUCUAUCCUGCUAACCUUACAGGCACUGAUUGUACUCAACUUCUUGUUGCAGUUGUUGUCUUCAAUCUGUCCAAAUCUGGUAACAUCUCAAAAGCAAUAAAGGGGGAAAGAGUUGGGACAUUGAUUGGAGGGGCGUCAAACACAGCAGUGGCAAGGACAUGAUAUUGCUGAAUGUCAUUUGCUUGGUGGCUUCUCUUGAUUCAUUGUAGGAGUUUAGAUUAGAGAGUAUCUAAAUUUAUGCUAAAGGAUUCAACCCUGGAAGCAUCCUGGAAUUUUAUUUGGAAUUUGGAGAUAGGAGCAUGAUUCAAAGUUUUUAGGUAAGGCAUCUAAAUUUCAAAUUGACUAAUUGAGAUACUUGUUUCAGUUGGUGCCGAAAAUGGUUUGGUCAAAUAUUGUAUAUCUUUUGAACAACUGAAUUUUAACGUCUACUUUAGAGAAAAUAUGGUAAACAACUCCAUAAUUUUGAUGGACAAGUCAAUUGGUUAAUAAUGCACAAGUUAUUUUUAUAAAAUAUUUAAUACGUGUUCUUUUCUUUAA
This 2298-nucleotide unclassified non-coding RNA is filed under the name Hevea brasiliensis (rubber tree). Lineage: Eukaryota; Viridiplantae; Streptophyta; Magnoliopsida; Malpighiales; Euphorbiaceae. The record is from RNAcentral.